Molecule: ribosomal RNA, 391 nt
Filed under: uncultured archaeon
Lineage: Archaea
Description: bacterial SSU rRNA
Rfam family: Archaeal small subunit ribosomal RNA
Source: RNAcentral
UGCAGCAGGCGCGAAACCUUUACACUGCACGACAGUGCGAUAGGGGGACUCCGAGUGCGAGGGCAUAGAGCCCUCGCUUUUGUAGACCGUAAGGAGGUAUACGAAUAAGGGCUGGGCAAGACCGGUGCCAGCCGCCGCGGUAACACCGGCAGCCCAAGUGAUGGCCGAUAUUAUUGGGCCUAAAGCGUCCGUAGCUGGCCGCGCAAGUUCGUCGGGAAAUCCACUCGCUUAACGAGUGGGCGUCCGGCGGAAACUGUGCGGCUUGGGACCGGAAGAUCCAAGGGGUACGUCCGGGGUAGGAGUGAAAUCCCGUAAUCCUGGACGGACCACCGAUGGCGAAAGCACCUCGGAAGGACGGAUCCGACAGUGAGGGACGAAAGCUAGGGUCUCG